UACGUAGGGUGCAAGCGUUGUCCGGAAUUAUUGGGCGUAAAGAGCUCGUAGGCGGUGUGUCACGUCGGCCGUGAAAACCUGGGGGCUUAACUCUGGGCGUGCGGUCGAUACGGGCAUCACUAGAGUUCGGCAGGGGAGACUGGAAUUCCUGGUGUAGCGGUGAAAUGACGCAGAUAUCAGGAGGAACACCGGUGGCGGAAGGCGGGUCUCUGGGCCGAUACUGACGUGGAGGAGCGGAAAGACAUGGGUAGCGAACAGG
This 259-nucleotide ribosomal RNA is filed under the name uncultured bacterium. RNAcentral's name for it is "partial 16S ribosomal RNA". It matches the Rfam family "Bacterial small subunit ribosomal RNA", at positions 524 to 776 of the family's 1533-position model. The record is from RNAcentral.